Molecule: long non-coding RNA, 569 nt
Organism: Oryza brachyantha (malo sina)
Lineage: Eukaryota; Viridiplantae; Streptophyta; Magnoliopsida; Poales; Poaceae
Exons: 2
Source: RefSeq, a predicted model, not a curated record
AACUUGGAGGAGCUCAUCCUCCACUCCCUCCUCACGGGUGCGCACGAAGGAGCAGCCUUGUCCUUCUUUUCCAGAUCUGGCAUGCGAAGGGACUUGUGAGUGGUCAUCGUCAUCCUUGUCCUCCUCUCCCUUCUCGUAGAUGCCAUCGUCCUUCUCCUCCUCCUCAAUCAGAUCCAUCAUAUGGAGGACGUGACGACUGCAACCACACACACAGGGGCUCGAUGAUGGUGGGUGUACGCGAGGAGCGUCGCUCGGUGACGGUAGCCAAAUGGCGGGGAGCAGACCUAGGAUCAUCUGUACUCGGAUAUGAAGGAAUAUUAUUCUUCAGGCGGUCUAGCCCAUCCCACCAUUGAUCCGCUCCAACCCAACGUAUCCCAACCCACAACUAAACGCACCCUUAUAGAAUUAUCAUGUUUUCAAGGACCAAAUCCACCAAAACAACCAAUCUAUUUACCUAUGUAGACAUGUAUACAUAUAACACACAUGUUUUUUCCUCACGCUUUAAUGACUAAAAGCUACAUUAUUUUGUGAUAAAUAUUUAAUGGUACAAACAAAUAAAUUAAUUAUAA